GACGAACGCUGGCGGCGUGCUUAACACAUGCAAGUCGUACGAUGAGGCCUCUUUGGGGGGUGGAUUAGUGGCGAACGGGUGAGUAACACGUGGGUAAUCUGCCCUGUACUUUGGGAUAAGCCUGGGAAACUGGGUCUAAUACCGGAUAUGACCUGCUCUCGCAUGGGGGUGGGUGGAAAGCUCCGGCGGUAUGGGAUGAGCCUGCGGCCUAUCAGCUUGUUGGUGGGGUGANGGCCUACCAAGGCGACGACGGGUAGCCGGCCUGAGA
This 268-nucleotide ribosomal RNA is filed under the name uncultured bacterium. RNAcentral's name for it is "partial 16S ribosomal RNA". It matches the Rfam family "Bacterial small subunit ribosomal RNA", at positions 28 to 297 of the family's 1533-position model. The record is from RNAcentral.